GAUGAACGCUGGCGGCGUGCCUAAUACAUGCAAGUCGAGCGAACGGACGAGAAGCUUGCUUCUCUGAUGUUAGCGGCGGACGGGUGAGUAACACGUGGAUAACCUACCUAUAAGACUGGGAUAACUUCGGGAAACCGGAGCUAAUACCGGAUAAUAUUUUGAACCGCAUGGUUCAAAAGUGAAAGACGGUCUUGCUGUCACUUAUAGAUGGAUCCGCGCUGCAUUAGCUAGUUGGUAAGGUAACGGCUUACCAAGGCAACGAUGCAUAGCCGACCUGAGAGGGUGCUGGGCCCCCCCUGACCCGCCACCCGGUCCGACCUCCUCGGGGGGGCAGGGGUAGGAACUCUUCCGCAAGGGGCGAAAGCCUCCGGGAGCCCCGCCGCGUGAGUUAUAAAGGUCCUCGGUUCGAAAACCUCUUUUUUUCGGAAAACCCUUUUUUGUAAGUAAUUUUCCCACUCUUGCCGGUCCCUAUCAAAAAGCCCCCGCCUACCUCCGC
RNAcentral lists this ribosomal RNA (496 nucleotides) under uncultured bacterium. Its description in RNAcentral is "partial 16S ribosomal RNA". It matches the Rfam family "Bacterial small subunit ribosomal RNA", at positions 28 to 506 of the family's 1533-position model. The record is from RNAcentral.